CCUUCAUCAUCCUCCAACAAGAUCCGUCCUGAGUCAGAGUCUUUCACAACUGCCCCAAUAGGGACAUUAAAUUCACUGUUUGUCUGAGUCUCCAGCCACACAUGAUCACCCUGUAGGGGAAGAAAAGUCAUUGUCAGGUUCAGUUUAGCUGCAAUGUGUGAUGGGAAAGAUAAGAAAAAGCCUCUGUGUCUGAGAUUCUUGGGGUUCCAGCUGUAGUUCCAUAGCGAAAUUGGAGGUCAUAGAAAAUGACAGGUAUUUCUAUAGACUGGGAGAAGAAGAACUUGAGAGCAGCCCUGCGGAGAAGGAUUUGGGGGUCCUGCGGGAGGAGAAGCUGGACAUGAGCCAGCAGUGCAUGCUUGCAGCCUGGAAGGCAAACUAUGUCCUGGGCUGCAUUAAAAAAGGGGUGGCCAGCAGGGAGAGGGAAGUGAUUGUUCCCCUCUACUCUGCUCUUGUGAGACUCCACCUGGAACACUGCGUGCAGGCCUGGGCCCCCAGCACAAGAAGGAUGUGGAGCUCUUGGAACGGGUCCAGAGGAGGCCCACUAAAAUGAUCAGGGGGCUGGAGCACCUCUCCUAUGA
Cygnus olor (mute swan) is the source of this 578-nucleotide long non-coding RNA. RefSeq lists it as uncharacterized. The record is from RefSeq and is a predicted model, not a curated record. The transcript has 3 exons. Lineage: Eukaryota; Metazoa; Chordata; Aves; Anseriformes; Anatidae.